Molecule: long non-coding RNA, 1016 nt
Organism: Malaclemys terrapin pileata
Lineage: Eukaryota; Metazoa; Chordata; Testudines; Emydidae
Exons: 7
Source: RefSeq, a predicted model, not a curated record
GGCUCUUUCUGGGCUCGUUUUAACUGGGGAGAAUACAGUUCCUCCUUCCGUUCCUUUCGCGGGUGCACGAGAGGCAGCUGGAGAGCGGUCAGCGGCCCACGAGGUAAUGAGGAUAGAGUCAGCAGUUAGUAUUUGUUUCUGAUGGUAUUGCAAGUUUCCUGUCUCGACUCUGCUAUGCUACUCCUUUGUAACCAGCAAGAUGUCACAUGAACUGUUAAAGAAAUAAGGCUAUGAGCAUUGGCCUCAGAUUUUGUUGCUCUGUCCAGAAAUCCUUAUAUUGUGAGAUGGGCUUUCAAAUGCUGCUUACCUGAAGCCUGCCAGCUCUCACCUGAACUGCUGAGUGGGAAAUACCUUCGUUAUGUGAUUUGCUGAGCUCAGACACAUUCAGAAAUGCCAUUUUCCUGACUUUGUUCUGCUCUUUGCAGCCAACAAGAUGUUGGUUGAAUUCUCUUAAGAACAAGAAUUUACAUCAACCGUGGUGUUAAAUAUAUGUUGUCUAAUGUGCAGUUAACUUGCAGCUACCAAGAAGUCAUACAGUUUUCAAGGCAUGUUGUGGGAAGCAGCCCUGUGAACCAGGGAAAAGAUGAGUGUGUUCUGUCUUUCUGCACCAAAGAAUCUGCGGGAGUAUAGGCAUGUACAGUACAUACAGGGCUGGCACUAGCAAAGAAAGCAGGUUCCUGGAUGGCCAAUAGAAAGGGGCAGCAGUCCGUCUGUUGGGGUGGCACAUCCAGGUCAGUGGUGGCAUUUCGGCGAUGGUUCCUUCGGCGGCAGCUCAAUCGCUCCUCUUCAGUCUUCAGCGGCACUUUGGCAGCGAGACCUUCAACUUUUUUUUCCCCUUUGCCACUUGAGGUGGCAAAAAAGCUGGAGCCAGCCCUGUCUGUUUAGACUAGAGUAUGAGCUCUUCAAUGCAGGGACUGUCCAUAUUAGGUGCCAUACAAACAAUGGGCCCUAAUUUCACUUUAAGGCCUCUAGGUGCUACUGGCAUACAAAUAAUAAAAUAGGUAUCAUACCUCUAA